RNAcentral lists this small nuclear RNA (72 nucleotides) under Cavia aperea (Brazilian guinea pig). The record is from RNAcentral. Lineage: Eukaryota; Metazoa; Chordata; Mammalia; Rodentia; Caviidae.
NUGAAACAGAGAAGAUUAGCAUGGCCCCUGCACAAGGAUGGCAUGCAAAUUCGUGAAGUGUUUAUUUUUAAA